UUUAUGGAGAGUUUGAUCCUGGCUCAGGACGAACGCUGGCGGCGUGCUUAACACAUGCAAGUCGAG
Molecule: ribosomal RNA, 66 nt
Filed under: Nocardioides sp.
Lineage: Bacteria; Bacillati; Actinomycetota; Actinomycetes; Propionibacteriales; Nocardioidaceae
Also listed under: 1 other name
Description: partial 16S ribosomal RNA
Rfam family: Bacterial small subunit ribosomal RNA
Source: RNAcentral